Molecule: transfer-messenger RNA, 351 nt
Filed under: human gut metagenome
Rfam family: transfer-messenger RNA
About the family: Bacterial tmRNA, also known as 10Sa RNA or SsrA, is named for its dual tRNA and mRNA-like properties. Its role is to liberate the mRNA from a stalled ribosome.
Source: RNAcentral
GGGGAUGCAAUGGUUUCGACAGAUACCUAGCAGUAUAAAUAGCGAGUGAUGGAUUCUCGUCGGCCAUCUAAAAAAACGAGAAAUAUAAAUAAUUAACAACAAUAAAGUUGCUUUAGCUGCCUAGUUGCGGCUACGUUUGACCAGGCUUGUCUACUUGGCUUGAAUCAGGCGUCGAUUAAAGUAGAACCGAAGCUAUCAAAACUUUGAGAUAGUGGGUAUUUAUAAAGUUACCGAAAAUAAAAGGGUGUUUGUCCUCGUCUAUUCUAGGGAAUUUUAAAAGAUAAACUGCACUCGGAGAAGUUUAUAUGAAAGGGUUUCUGGACAGGAGUUCGAUUCUCCUCAUCUCCACCA